GAGAAGUAGCCUGCCCUUCCCUUCUGGUUCUCCUUGGCUCCUUAUCAAGGGGUGAACUGUGUCCCCCAAUCCUGCAAUUACAUGUUGGAGUCCCAGCUCCAGGGACCUGAGAACGUGACUGUGUUUGGAGAGGUGACCAGGUAACAUGAGUCAGCCUUCAUCCAACCUGCCCGGUGUCUUCACAGGAAGAGAUCAGGACACAGAGGGACAACGGGGUGAGGACGCAGGGUGAGGAGGGCCAUCUGCCCGCCGGGUAGAGAGGCCUCAGAAGCAGGCGGCCCUGCCCACGCCUGGAUCUCAGACCUCCAGCCUCCAGUACAUACAUUUCUGUUAGGUCCUCUCACUCUGGUGCUUCGUCAGGACAGCCCCAGAGAACCACCCACUUUCUGUGGGGGCCUCUGGUGGCUUUCAGACUCUGGGUGACACCAGGGCCACUUUGAGGGGUUGUAGAAGAUGCAGACUCCUGGGCCCUGACCGCAGAGAUCCUGACACAUGACCUCGGCCGGGAGAUACACCCAGAGGACGACACGGACACAUUCAGCUGCUCUUGCUGCCAUAGCUCUCCAGCACAGAGACCUGUGUUUAAUAACAUCACCCUCCAGUAGAAGAGAGGCAAGAUUUGGACAGCCCUCUGCCGGGGAGCUGUCUCAUCCUGAUAAAUGGAACAGCAUCCCGCCCACUGUGAAAAGUCCCAGUGUUAGAUUAAACAUAUCAAUCCUG
Molecule: long non-coding RNA, 720 nt
Organism: Hyaena hyaena (striped hyena)
Lineage: Eukaryota; Metazoa; Chordata; Mammalia; Carnivora; Hyaenidae
Exons: 3
Source: RefSeq, a predicted model, not a curated record